This 253-nucleotide ribosomal RNA is filed under the name uncultured bacterium. RNAcentral's name for it is "partial 16S ribosomal RNA". It matches the Rfam family "Bacterial small subunit ribosomal RNA", at positions 524 to 776 of the family's 1533-position model. The record is from RNAcentral.
UACGUAGGGUCCGAGCGUUGUCCGGAAUUAUUGGGCGUAAAGGGCUCGUAGGCGGUCCGUCACGUCGGGAGUGAAAACUCAGGGCUCAACCCUGAGCGUGCUUCCGAUACGGGCGGACUAGAGGUAUGCAGGGGAGAGCGGAAUUCCUGGUGUAGCGGUGGAAUGCGCAGAUAUCAGGAGGAACACCGGUGGCGAAGGCGGUUCUCUGGGCAUUACCUGACGCUGAGGAGCGAAAGCAUGGGGAGCGAACAGG